Molecule: small nuclear RNA, 105 nt
Filed under: Salvator merianae (Argentine black and white tegu)
Lineage: Eukaryota; Metazoa; Chordata; Lepidosauria; Squamata; Teiidae
Source: RNAcentral
GUGCUUACUUUGGCUGCACAUAUACUAAAAUUGGAAUGUACAGAGAAGAUUAGCGUCCCCCUAUGCAAGGAUGACAUGCAAAUUAGUGAAGCUUUCCAUAUUUUA